Molecule: ribosomal RNA, 490 nt
Filed under: Salmonella enterica subsp. enterica serovar Derby
Lineage: Bacteria; Pseudomonadati; Pseudomonadota; Gammaproteobacteria; Enterobacterales; Enterobacteriaceae
Also listed under: 18 other names
Description: bacterial SSU rRNA
Rfam family: Bacterial small subunit ribosomal RNA
Source: RNAcentral
AAAUUGAAGAGUUUGAUCAUGGCUCAGAUUGAACGCUGGCGGCAGGCCUAACACAUGCAAGUCGAACGGUAACAGGAAGCAGCUUGCUGCUUUGCUGACGAGUGGCGGACGGGUGAGUAAUGUCUGGGAAACUGCCUGAUGGAGGGGGAUAACUACUGGAAACGGUGGCUAAUACCGCAUAACGUCGCAAGACCAAAGAGGGGGACCUUCGGGCCUCUUGCCAUCAGAUGUGCCCAGAUGGGAUUAGCUUGUUGGUGAGGUAACGGCUCACCAAGGCGACGAUCCCUAGCUGGUCUGAGAGGAUGACCAGCCACACUGGAACUGAGACACGGUCCAGACUCCUACGGGAGGCAGCAGUGGGGAAUAUUGCACAAUGGGCGCAAGCCUGAUGCAGCCAUGCCGCGUGUAUGAAGAAGGCCUUCGGGUUGUAAAGUACUUUCAGCGGGGAGGAAGGUGUUGUGGUUAAUAACCGCAGCAAUUGACGUUACCC